RNAcentral lists this ribosomal RNA (497 nucleotides) under uncultured bacterium. RNAcentral's name for it is "partial 16S ribosomal RNA". It matches the Rfam family "Bacterial small subunit ribosomal RNA", at positions 28 to 507 of the family's 1533-position model. The record is from RNAcentral.
GAUGAGCGCUGGCGGCGUGCCUAAUACAUGCAAGUCGAGCGAACAGACGAGGAGCUUGCUCCUCUGACGUUAGCGGCGGACGGGUGAGUAACACGUGGAUAACCUACCUAUAAGACUGGGAUAACUUCGGGAAACCGGAGCUAAUACCGGAUAAUAUAUUGAACCGCAUGGUUCAAUAGUGAAAGACGGUUUUGCUGUCACUUAUAGAUGGAUCCGCGCCGCAUUAGCUAGUUGGUAAGGUAACGGCUUACCAAGGCAACGAUGCGUAGCCGACCUGAGAGGGUGAUCGGCCACACUGGAACUGAGACACGGUCCAGACUCCUACGGGAGGCAGCAGUAGGGAAUCUUCCGCAAUGGGCGAAAGCUUGACGGAGCAACGCCGCAUGAGUGAUGAAGGUCUUCGGAUCGUAAAACUCUGUUAUUAGGGAAGAACAAAUGUGUAAGUAACUAUGCACGUCUUGACGGUACCUAAUCAGAAAGCCACGGCUAACUACGUG